ACGCUGGCGGCAGGCCUAACACAUGCAAGUCGAGCGGUAGAGAGAAGCUUGCUUCUCUUGAGAGCGGCGGACGGGUGAGUAAUGCCUAGGAAUCUGCCUGGUAGUGGGGGAUAACGUUCGGAAACGGACGCUAAUACCGCAUACGUCCUACGGGAGAAAGCAGGGGACCUUCGGGCCUUGCGCUAUCAGAUGAGCCUAGGUCGGAUUAGCUAGUUGGUGGGGUAAUGGCUCACCAGGGCGACGAUCCGUAACUGGUCUGAGAGGAUGAUCAGUCACACUGGAACUGAGACACGGUCCAGACUCCUACGGGAGGCAGCAGUGGGGAAUAUUGGACAAUGGGCGAAAGCCUGAUCCAGCCAUGCCGCGUGUGUGAAGAAGGUCUUCGGAUUGUAAAGCACUUUAAGUUGGGAGGAAGGGCAGUAAAUUAAUACUUUGCUGUUUUGACGUUACCGACAGAAUAAGCACCGGCUAACUCUGUGCCAGCAGCCGCGGUAAUACAGAGGGUGCAAGCGUUAAUCGGAAUUACUGGGCGUAAAGCGCGCGUAGGUGGUUAGUUAAGUUGGAUGUGAAAUCCCCGGGCUCAACCUGGGAACUGCAUUCAAAACUGACUGACUAGAGUAUGGUAGAGGGUGGUGGAAUUUCCUGUGUAGCGGUGAAAUGCGUAGAUAUAGGAAGGAACACCAGUGGCGAAGGCGACCACCUGGACUGAUACUGACACUGAGGUGCGAAAGCGUGGGGAGCAAAC
This 745-nucleotide ribosomal RNA is filed under the name uncultured bacterium. RNAcentral's name for it is "bacterial SSU rRNA". It matches the Rfam family "Bacterial small subunit ribosomal RNA", at positions 33 to 773 of the family's 1533-position model. The record is from RNAcentral.